UGCCGAUUUUUACGAAGUCGUCAGGCCUCGAAUUUUCCGUUCAUGGACAGGGGAGGCAUUCUCACUUUCUUCUGGGAUUUUAUCGGUUUGCCGAAGAUUUCGUAAGACAUCGUCCAACUGAAAAGGAAACAGUGGAUAGAAUAGUGACUCGGAGGAAGUUUACGCGGUGGAGGAUGUGAUUGCAACUUCAGGUGCCAUGUCAUUACAGCUAAAAUAGGGAGUACAGAUGGCCAGGUCAACUGAAGAUGGUGGCGACAGGCAAAUGAGGUGUAUCUGCUAUGGUUAAGCAUGAUAUAUGUCAAGUCGUUGUUGUUACCGACGGUUUGUUGUAUAAAUCGUUUCCUAACGGAGAUUAGACUUACUAUCCGAGAGGGACCGUUUGCUCAAAUGUACGUAAAAUAAUGCUUUUACGAGAGCUAGCGGACGU
RNAcentral lists this small RNA (427 nucleotides) under Cryptococcus neoformans H99. RNAcentral's name for it is "Cryptococcus neoformans var. grubii H99 hypothetical RNA". The record is from RNAcentral. Lineage: Eukaryota; Fungi; Basidiomycota; Tremellomycetes; Tremellales; Cryptococcaceae.